GUAACUAAGUAAUUAGAUUUAAACGUGAUCAGUUUUCCUAUGUCGACUAUCUCGAAUAGAAAAAAAACUAAAAACACAUCUAAAUCACAUAAGUAAGUUCAUCAUGUUAAGAAAAAUCAAUAAAAACAAAUAAAUGAUAAAGAUAUAAAUAGACAUAGGCGACUCCAAGUGAGUUUCACUCGUUUUGGUUGCUAUUCCGGAUAGUCAAAGAUAUAGACUCCAUAUGCGCGUAUUAUGGUAGCGAGUCCAUGAGACUGUAUUUUGGCCAGAGUCCUCAAUUCGGACUCCAUUUUUGCUCCAAAGUUCAUGCAAGUAAAGAGAUGGUAAAGAGAUUAGUAAGACAAUUCAACUUUAAUCGAUAUUGAAUAAGUCAAGAAUAGAGCCAAAUAAAGUCACGCCACAAAAUACAUUCCGAGAUACAAAUUAAACUGCAAGGAUCAGACAAGAUACAUGACGAUUUUUGAACCAAACUCGAAGCAGCCAAGUAUGAAGCAACCAUACGUGCCUUAUAGACACAACAUUAAAUUCCAACUUCAACAGAUUUGAACUAUAAAGAAAACUUACUUCUCACACCAUGAUCCUUUAACAUUAACUUUUUUUUACAUAGCCAAAUAUUAAAUAUUCAGGAUGAAAAGGAACAAACUCAUACAUACAUUUCUACUAACAGAGAAUAGAACGGAGGCUGCUAACAGAGGAACAAAAGAGACUUAAACUCAAAUUUAUAUGCAUCGAGAUAAAGCGCGAUCAUGGCGAGCAUAUAAUUUGUAGCAUAUUUUAUAACUAAGCAUGACAAAAAAGAUCUCCAUUAAAACGUAUUCCUACUUUAAGAAGUAUACAUGAGCUGCAAAUGUUUAACAUACAAGGACAAUGAAUAAGCUAUCAACUGGGAGGAAAAAAAAAGUCAACAAAAGAUCUCAUAUAAACCUUUUUUUAAAACUAAAGGUGUGUUUGGUAUGAAGGAAAAUGUUUUCCUAGAAACUGUUUCCUGGAAAACAAGUGGUUGUGACUUAUUUUCUCGUGUUUGGUUGGUAAGUAGAAAAUAUUUUCCCAAAAAGAUUUUUUAAUGUUUGAUUUAUGAAUGAAAAAUGUUUAUGAGAAAAUAUCUUUUAUUUUUACUAGAGUAGAAAAUAAUUUUUGAAAUUGAAAAUAUUUUUUAAAAACAAACUUAAAUUUUUAAGNNNNNNNNNNNNNNNNNNNNNNNNNNNNNNNNNNNNNNNNNNNNNNNNNNNNNNNNNNNNNNNNNNNNNNNNNNNNNNNNNNNNNNNNNNNNNNNNNNNNNNNNNNNNNNNNNNNNNNNNNNNNNNNNNNNNNNNNNNNNNNNNNNNNNNNNNNNNNNNNNNNNNNNNNNNNNNNNNNNNNNNNNNNNNNNNNNNNNNNNNNNNNNNNNNNNNNNNNGUAAUUUGAAGUUGGAAGAGAAUUUUGGAAAAUGUUUCCCUUAAAUUUUGAAGGAAAGUCAUUUUCCUUACAUUUGAGGAAAAUGAGUUGAUUUGGAAAACAUUUUUCAAAACAUUUAACCUAACCAAACAUGAGAAAUUUGGAAAACAUUUUCCGGAAAAUAUUUUACUUCAUCCCAAACACAUACUAAGUAAUUCCUUAAUUUCAAGAUGGCUAAAACACGAAAGAAAUAUGACUUCAUAUUCCUAGAAAGAUUAAACCGAACAAAAAUACAUCACUUCAUUAUAGCUAGAACAAGCAAAAUCUUUCUCGACACCAAAUCAGAGGAAAAGGGGCGAAAAUCACCUGCUAUAGGGCAGUGAACGAGGCUGCUUUGAUCAAAGUCUAUAUUUGAACAAUAACAAACUCGAACAAGCUUGAAGCUAGAGUUUCUGUCAAGAUUGAAAGAGGAUACAAAAGAUAAUUUUUUAGGGCAGAAAGCAAUGGUUCAAGGUGCUAUAGGGGGGGGGGGGGGAGAAAAGUUUCUUUUCUUAAAAAUAAACACAAAAGCUGCUAUAGAGAUCCCAAAAAAAACUUCCGAAACUCGAAUGCAAAAUGUUGGUAUUUAUAGGAAUGAAUUAGGGUUCUAGGCUCAAGUUUUAGCGGGAUUUCAAGAAUCAAAUUAGUCAUAAUUCAAAAUCCAUCUCUGAACUUACUCUGUCCAAAUCGCAAAGUCUCUUGGCAUCUUAUGUUGGUCAAAUCACCACGGAGAGGGAGAAUGGAGAAGAGCUAAAGAAGUGUUCAAGGUUUGCAUGAAAAUAGGACUAGUGAAUCUGUCAAUGGCUAAAAAGAAAAAAGACCAGAAAAAACGAAGGGGAUGAGGCAACAAAUAUUUUGAUUUAGAAGAUAGGUUUAGGGUUUCUAUCUUAACUGCAGAUUUGGAUUUGGGCUGCACAUAGGGCUUUUGGGCCCAAUUUGGGGCUAUUUGCCUUUCUUCUUUUAAAUUAUGUUGGGCUUCUUACUUAAUACUCCCUUUGUUCCAAUUUAUGUGGCACUUUUCAUUUUUUGAAAUGAAAUUUAUAUAUUUGUAAACUACGUAAAAAGUACUAUAAGUCACAAUAAUUGAUAAUUCAAAAUAAUUAAAAAGAUUUAUGAAAAAAUUACGGUCAAAGAUAGACUUGUUUGAAUCUUGAAAUCCGAAAAGUGACACAUAAAAUGGGACGGAGGAGUAACUGAUACAAUAUAUGUUAAAAAAUGACAACUAAUAAUUUACAUAAUAAAAAUAUCAAUAUUACAAAUUUACAUUAAUAUAAAAUAGACAAAUAUAAAAGAAGGAUUUAUAAUUAGUUUAAUAAGUACGAAACUUGAAAUAAAGCGACAACAAAUUAUUUUCUUAAGAAAAGAAGGUUUAAAAAGUGAUAAUAGUAAUUUCGAUAAUAAAACAUAUAAUUUUAGUAGAUAAAUAGUUGUAGUAGUAAAAUAGUUGUGAAAAAGGAAUAUUUGACACGUUAUUAAUUUAGAAGCUCAAAAACAAUAAAUUAAAAGAAAGAAGGGUCAAAAUUCGGUGUCAACAACUUGUCCCUCUUUAACCAGAGACGAUGUAAGAGUUUUUGGGCAAAGAAGUUGACAUUGUAGCCAAUUUUGUCCUGACCAAUAAAUACGACCUAGGGAGAGUAUGAGAAAAUAUGAGUGUUGGAUAACUGAUGAGGUAUAGAAUUUUGUAAACAAGGUAGUCGCGAGCUUACAAAUAUUGAUCCAAUAUUGAAUUAUGAUGUUAUUGGAUAUUGUGAUCGAGCAGAGUAUUCGAGAUUGGAGUCGAGCAGUGUUCAAGGUAGACCUUUGACCUUUGUUGGAAAGCUAAACCUUCACAACAAAUUACCCAGUUCACUGCGUAGAUAAAGUUCCACGUUGCAUUGUGUCUCUUGUUGCUGCAUGUAAACUGUGCUUUCUGCCAAAUCUUGAUAAAAGUGUUAGGAAAUAAUAUAAAGCUAAAAUUAUAAAAAAAUAUCUUAUGAUAAAUAUCAUACAAGAGCUUAUGUAUACUACAACGCCGAGCAAUGGAUAUUUCGUCGGUAUAUUGUAAUUAAUUAUAUCGCCAUCCUUUUGUUGCUAAUUUUGUAGGUAAAUUUAUGGCGCGUAAAAUUGGCGCCAAUUUUUUGCAACGGAGUUGAUAUUUCGUCGCUAGGCCAUCACUAUUUUUAUAGCGACGUAAUUAUAAAUCCAUAGCUAAUCCAUCGUUAUAUAGCAACGAAAAUAUGUUUGUUGCUAAAAUCCGUCACUAAACGCUGAUUUUUUUGUAGUGAUAUUUUUACAUAAAAAUGUGGAUAAAUUCUGCAGGCUCUUCUAAUACCCAUAUAUUUGUCAUUAGACGUGUAACAGAUUAACUAAAUAGCUCCAAGGUUACUCAUUAAAGUAGUGACUAACUUUGACAAGUUCUAAAUAUCCCAUAUUUUGCACAUUUUAUCCUAGUUCAAAUUGCAAACGAGGCCAUCAGGAUGCCACGUUGAUGCAAAUGAGUAGUCCACAAGUCCACACAAAGGAUAAAAAAACAUUUCCAUUCCUACAGUCAACCAAAAAACCUAUCGCGAUCAACAAGCAAAAAACAAGCACCAUAAAUCUUCUCCCCAAGAUCAUUUAGUUGGAGUGUAAUACGUCGUAUCAACAAAUAGAUGAAGUUUAUUACAUAGAAGAUGAAUAUGAAAUGGAAGAACUAGCUUAUUUUGUUGAUAAGUUCCAAGGCGUAGACUUGGGUGGCUUUGAUUCGGUUGAAGAUGAGUUGCAAGGCAUAGACUUGGAUGACUUUGAUUUGGAUGUAGAUGAGCUCUUAGACAUAGGCUUAGGUGGAUUUGAUUCAGAUGUAGAUGAGUACGAUUACAUGAAUAAAAGAAUGUAAGAUAUUUUGGCUAUAGAGGUAAGGAAGCGCAAAGAUAUUAAAGGGAUCCCCUAGAAAGGGUUCUCAUAACCAGGGAGACAACUAAGCAAAGAAGACUACAACUCUAUCAGAACUAUGAAAAUAUUCCUCACUCUGGUUAGACAUCAGAAAAGGAGUGCAAAACCACGAAGAAAGAUAAUUUAAAUUAUGAUUUCAGAUGGAAUGGAAGAUUUAUAACAUCAAAGUCCUCUCAUCCCCCGCUGAGGAAUUUGGUUUGGACACCUUUUAACCAUAAUGCGUGCAUGAUGUCUAAUUUUUUCAGUCAUCUGUUGCACUAACGUCCUCUCAACCUCCAGUUGUGGAAGUUGGUUUGGGCACCUUCGAAGCAUGAUGUGUACCUGAUGUCUCAUUUCUUUGAAAUUCAUUGUUCAAUUGAUUUGGUGAAAACUGAAAUUCUCAAUUUAUCAAGGCAUGUAGCGCCACUCUUGAAAAAUCUUUAAAUCCUUUUAGAGGGAUUUAGGGAUAUCCUAGAAAGCACUCUUGCCGUGAAAGAUAAGUUGCUUUUUACUAGCGGAUUGCAAGGAGAACUUACUGUCAAGUAUUUAGAUAAGCUUGGAGUUUUCUUUUUUUCUCGUCGACCUAAGUCGAGGAUGUCAUUACCACUGCUAUUGAGAUUAAAAAAACUGUCGGAGGUGCACUUCAUUUUAUAGCUUCAAAUAAUGAUUCUAGAGUUAGAGAUUUUGAUUUCGAGAAAUUUUAAAUAUCUAACCAUUUCCAUUUUCCCGAGCCAGUGAAUCAUAGAUCACUCAGUCCUGAUGACAAUCUCUAACUCCAGGAUGGCAUCACUGGCCAGGGAAAUUGGAAAUGAUUAGAUAGUUGAGAUUUCUCCAAAUCGAAAACUCUAACUCUAGAAUUAUUAUUUGAUGUUAUAAAAUAGAGUGCACCACUGAUAGUGUUGUUAAUGCUAAUAGCAAUGGCAAUGGCAUAAUUGUUAUACGUUGGUCAAGAACAGAAGCAAACUCCAAGAUUAUCUAAAUACUUGACGAUUAGUUCUCCUUUCAAUCUACCAGCAACAAGCAACUUAUCUUUCACAACAAGAAUAAUUACUCGGGUCUCCGUAAAUCACUCUUAAAGGCUUUCAAGGUGUUUAUCGAGUGGCGCUACAUGCCUUGAUAAAUGGAAAAUUAUUGUUUUUGUGCAGGUCCAUGAUGACUAGUGAAUGAUAUAAAAAUGAGACAUCAGAAGAUACCUCGACAAAAUUCCUCAGUUGGGGGUGAGGAAAUGUUGAUAUAUAGGAUCUUGUAUUCCAUAUGAAAUCAUAGUACAAAUAAUCACCCUAUCCUAGAAAAUCGCCGGAAAUUGAUGCACAUUGCUCUGUCUAGCUGUGUUUUCUUCCCCUGAAUAUGGGGUUCAUGCAUAUAUCGUUGGCUCUACUUUUAUUAAUAUAACCAUUGGCCAACUUGGUGGCAUAUGUUGGUCAUAGUCGCCUGCCAGCAACGAUAGCUAUUUGAUUCUCUACCCGGAUCGUAGAAGCUCCAUUACAAUUUGAGAAUUAUUAUUGAAUUGAGUAUCUACAUUAUUACAUUGAGAUCAUAUCUAUAGAUACUACAUUAGACUCCAUUCUCGACCACGAAACUACAGUACUAUUCUUUUCCAAGUAGGAUUAUAUAUUUUUAUUUUUAUUUUAUGACUGUUAUGAUCGGAUCAUCUUUCAUGCACCCCGACUAAAUUUACAAGAAACCUACCACCUCCCUAGCAACAAAUAUCAGGUAACUCUGUUCACCAAGGCUAGUACAGAUGGAAUGAAUCAGCUAGUGUUUUUGUCUCCGCUGAGUUUUGACCUUAAGACGUAGGAAUCUCAACCACUUCAUUGACCACUCAGCCACACCCUAGGGUACCAAAUUGGAUUUAUAUACUAAUCUUUUUCCAAGUAGGUGACCUGUGUUAUAAAGGAGGCCACACUCAGUUUUAUCAUUCAAAUGAUGGAGAUAGUCUACAUUACAAAUAGCACGAUAAAAAAAAUAUGAACCUAAAUAUCAUCCACUUCUACCCUCAAAGUGCUUAUAUUAUUUCAUCAACAUAUGAAUAGUUGUGUCAUCACCCAAACUCAAGGAGGCUACUAAAUAUGUGAUUCCACACGCCAAUGAUAAGGGACUCUCUAUCAGGACUAAAAGACACUCGUGAUAUCUCACCAGAGAAAUCAUUUUCUUAUUCCACCUCAUAUCCACAUUUUACAAAAAAAAAUGUAAAAAAAUUCUACAAGCUCAACCAUACCCAUAAAUAUUUCAUCACAUGCCUAGCAGAUUGACCGAAAGCUCCAAAGUUACCCUUCAAAGUAGAGACUAACUUAGACAAGUUUUGAAUAUCCCAUAAUUUGCAUGUUUUAUUAUGGUCCUCAUUUGCAGACGUUAGGCCAUCAGGAUGUCACGAUAAUGCAAAUGAGUAGUCCAUAUGUCUACAUAAAGGAGAAACAACCUUUCUAUUCCUGGAGUUAAUGAAAAAACCUAUCGCGAUCAGUGGCGGAUCCAGGAAUUAAGCUCAGGGGUUCAAAAUUUAAAGAAGAAACUCAUGUGGUAAUGUAAGUGCGUGGUGAGCGUAGUAACCCCGACAUGCUUUUUGUACAAGGUAUCUCAUUGGUUGAUAAAAGUUAACACUUCUUAAAAUUUCUUGUACUUUUUAUACUUUUAUUUUGUAAUGUUUUACUUUAUUUUGCAUUUUAAUUUUUUUAAAAUUAGUAUCCAUUCAAACACAUAUUACUAGGAAAAUUAUUAAGAUUCUCUAAAAGUGUGUACGUAAGUAUAGAUUUACUAAUAUUAUAAUGCACAUUCAGAAGAUAAAUAAAUGGCAUCGUCAAUUUUUUAGUUCAUGUAGUUUAAUUUACUAGGUUAGUCAUCACUUGUUGAAAAAAAAAAUGACGAAUAAAUCAAAUAAGUUUUGUUUUCAUCUCUCUAAAAUAGAAUUGGAAAAAUAGAAAAGAAAUUCCAUGAAUUCUAUUAAAUAUAUAUUAUUAAAAGGAUAUUGACGAUUUUUAGUUUCUUCAUUCAAUUACAUCUAAUUUAUCUUUAUAUAUAUAAUUCAUCAUUUUUAAAGAGUUGUACAUAAAAUUAUGUUGAAAUAAAAUGACAAAUAGAUAUAAGAAGAAAAAAAAAAUGUGUCUAAUAAAUUUAAACAAAAACAAAUUAGAAAAAAAAUGACAUAAAAGAAAUAAUGAAAAAGAGAAGAUGAUCCAAACCCAAAAGUUGUGCCCAAUUCCAUGCAUUAAAAAGGGUAAAUAAAUAAGAGAAGAGGAAUUGAUGCGCAUGGGAUUCGAACUCACGACGUAAAGCCACUGCUGAACCCCUUAUCCAUUGAGCUAAAGCUUCUCACUUAUUUUCAGGGGGUUCAUUUUAAUAUAUAUACACAUAAAAUCAGAAUUUGGCCCUAUAUAUAUAACGUAAUUUUUCAACCAAGGGGGUUCACCCGAACCCCCCUAGACACUAAAUUUCCAUCUCAAGAUCAUUUAGUUUGAGUGUAACAUGUCCCAUCAACAAGGAGAUGAAGCCGAUUAUGUAGCAAAUUAAUAUGAAAUGAAAGAACUAGAUGAAUUAAUUGAUUAGUUACAACGCGUAGACUUGGGUGGCUUUGAUUCGGAUGUAGAUGAGUUGCAAGCCAUAGAUUUGGAUGACUUUGAUUUGGAUAUAGAUGAGUUUCUAUGCAUAGACUUAGGUGACUUUGAUUCAGAUGUACAUAAGUAUGACUACAUGAAUAAAAGAAUGCAAGAUAUUUCAAUUGUUGAGGUAAGGAAUGACAAAGGUAUUCAAGGGAUCCCUAAGGAAAGGGUUACCAUAACUAGGGAGACAACUAGGCAAAGAAGACUACAACGCUAUAAAAACUAUGAAAAUAUUCCUUAAUCUGGUGAGAUAUCAGAAAAGGAGUGCAAAACCAUAAAGAAAGACGAUUUAUACUAUGAUUUUAGAUCGAAUGCAAGAUCUAUUACAUCAAUGUUUUCUUACCCUAGCUGAGAAAUUUGGUUUGGGCACCAUCUAAGCAUGAUGUAUACCUGAUGUCUCAUUUUUCUAUCAUUGAUUGGUCAUCAUUGAUAUGUGCUAAAACUGAAAUUCUCAAUUUAUCAUGGGAUGUAGCGCCACUAGAGAAUCAUCCUGAAAGCUUUUUAGAGGAAUUGAAGGAGACAUGAGUAAGAACUCUUGCUGUGAAAGAUAAGAUUUUUGUUACUAGUGGAUUGCAUGGAGAACUUAUCGUCAAGUAUUUAGAUAAGACUUGAGUUUUCUUUUAUUCACGCCAACCUAUGUCGAUGAUGCCAUUACCACUUCUAUUGAGAUUAACAACACUGUCAGUGGUGCACUUCAUUUAAUAGCUUCAAAUUAUUGAUGGCAAUCUUUAACUCCAGGAUGGCAUCACUGGCUAGGGGAAUUGGAAAUAAUUAGACUAUUGAAAUUUCUCCAAAUCAAAAUCUCUAACUCUAGAAUUAUUAUUUGAAGCUAUAAAAUGAAGUGCACCACUGACAGUAUUAGUAAUCUUAAUAGCAGUGACAAUGGCAUCAUCGUCAUAUGUCAACCGAGAACAAAAGCAGACUCUAGGAUUAUCUAUGUACUUGACGAUUAGUUCUCUUUGCAAUUCACUAGAAACUUACUUUUCACAGUUAGAGUGCUUACUAGGGUCUCCGUAAAUCCCUCUAAAAGUCCUUCAAGAUGUUUCUCGAGUGAUGCUACAUGACCUGAUAAAUUGAAAAUUUUAGUUUUUGCGCUGGUCAAUGAUGACCAAUGAAUGAUAGAAAAAUGUGACAUUAGGUAUACAUCAUGCUUAGAAGAUUCUCAUACCAAAAUUCCUCAGUUGGGGGAGAGAUGAUGUUGAUGUAAUGGAUCUUGCAUUCCAUCUAAAAUCAUAGUAUAAACUGUCUUUCUUUGUGGUUUUUCACUCCUUUUCUGAUGUCUCACCAGAUUGAGGAAUAUUUCCAUAGUUCUGAUAGCGUUGUAGUCUUAUUUUCCUACUCGUCUCCCUGGUUAUGGUAACCCUUUCCUAUGGGAUCCCUUGAAUAUAUUUUACCUUCCUUACCUCGACAGCUGAAAUAUCUUAUGUAAAGAUAUGACACAUGGGCCUAACUCAACCCCAAAAUGUAAGUCAUGAAGGGAGGUUUGUCCAAGUCCACAUAAGGAGACAAAUUUUCCAUCCCUCUACCGAUGUGAGACUUCAUAACAUCUUGGAUUCUUUUAUUCAUGUAUUCAUACUCAUCUACAUCCUAAUCAAAGCCACCUAAGUCUACAGAUGCUUUGGAAAUCAUCUACAUCCAAAUUAAAGUCAUUCAAAGUCUAUUCCUUGCAACUCAUCUACAUCCUAAUCAAACCCACCCAAGUCUAUGCCCUAGAACCCAUCAAUAAAAUCAUCUAGUUCUUCCAUUUCAUAUUCAUCAACUAAUUAUCUUGGGGUAAUACUUAAUCAACAUCAUCUACUUGUUGAUGGGACAUGUUACACUCCAACUAAUUAUCUUGGGGUAAAAAUUUAGGGUGCCUAUUUUUCUCUUGUUGAUCACUAUCGGUUUUUUGGUUGACUCCAAAAAUGGAGAAGUUGUUUACCCUUUGUGUGGAUAUGUGGACUAUUCAUUUGAAUCAUCAUGGCAUUCUGAUGGCCUAACGUUUGCAAGUGGGAAUAAAUAUAAAUGUGUAAAAUAUGGGAUAUUCGAAAACUUAUCCAAGUCAGUCACUACUUUGAAGGGUAACCUUGGAGGUAUUUGGUCAAUCUGCUACAUGUCUGAUUACAAAUUUAUGUGAAAGGUAGAGCUAGUUGAAUUUGCUAAUAUUUUUUAAUGUAAAAUGUGGAAAUCAUAGUAAAAACAAGCACCCUACCCUAGAAAGUCUUCAGAAAUUUACCCUACCAUUGCCUCACACCGCAAGGUGCAUCAAACGUGGACAAUGGCAUUUUCCUAGACCGAUUUGGUGGGUCCUUUUCUGUAUUUUAAAUAAUAUAAAUAAGAAUACUUGGUCUGUCUCGAUUCCCAUUGGUCGGUCUGCUAUACGGAACAAACCUUUUUCCAUGUAAUCUUGAAUCAGAUUCUUGAAAUUUACAUAAUUAUUUGUAGAGUGAGUCCAUUUCUCAUGCCAUUUUUUAGGAGGAGACGACUAUUGUAGAAGCACAGAGCAAAGCGCAAAAGGAAAAAAUUCUCUUAGGGUUAACUCUUCUUCUCUUUACUUAGCAUUAUUUCUUGUUUAUAACAUGAAUUAUAGCUUUUGUAAUAAGAUUGGAGUGGCUAAAAGCCCUCUUUCUAGGGUUAUGGUAACCCUUUCCUAUGGAAAUCAUCUACAUCCAAAUUAAAGUCAUUCAAAGUCUAUUCCUUGCAACUCAUCUACAUCCUAAUCAAACCCACCCAAGUCUACGCCCUAGAACCCAUCAAUAAAAUCAUCUAGUUCUUCCAUUUCAUAUUCAUCUAAUACAUAAUCAAUAUCAUCUACUUGUUGAUUGGACAUGUUACACUCCAACUAAUUAUCUUGGGGUAAAAUUUAGGGUGCCUAUUUUUCUCUUGUUGAUCACUAUCGGUUUUUUGGUUGACUCAAAAAAUGGAGAAGUUGUUUACCCUUUGUGUGGACAUGUGGACUACUCAUUUGAAUCAUCAUGGCAUUCUGAUGGCCUAACGUUUGCAAGUGGGAAUAAAUAUAAAUGUGUAAAAUAUGGGAUAUUCGAAAACUUAUCCAAGUCAGUCACUACUUUGAAGGGUAACCUUGGAGGUAUUUGAUCAAUCUGUUACAUGUCUGAUUACAGAUUUAUGUGCAAGGUAGAACUAGUAGAAUUUGCUAAUACUUUUUAAUGUAAAAUGUGGAAAUCAUAGUAAAAACAAGCACCCUACCCUAGAAAGUCUUCAGAAAUUAACCCUACCAUUGCCUCACACCGCAAGGUGCAUCAAACGUGGACAAUGGCAUUUUCCUAGUCCGAUUUGGUGGUCCCUUUUCUGUAUUUUAAACAAUAUAAAUAACCAUACUUGGUCUCUCUCGAUUCCCAUUGUUCGGUCUGCUAUCCGGAACAGACCUUUGUCCAUGUAAUCUUGAAUCAGAUUCCUGAAAUUUACAUAAUUAUUUGUAGAGUGAGUCCAUUUCUCAUGCCAUUUUUAAGAGGAGACGACUAUUGUAGAAGCACAGAGCAAGAGCAAAGGAAAAAUUCUCUUAGGGUUAACUCUUCUUCUCUUUACUUAGCAUUAUUCUUGUUUAUAACAUGAAUUAUAGCUUUUGUAAUAAGAUUGGAGUGGCUAAAAGCCCUCUUUCUAGGGUUAUGGCCAUAGUAUGAACUUCGUCUUGUAUUAUAUAGUUGUUAUUGCGAUUUUCUACCAUAUAUGUUUCUCUCUUAAUCUUAUACUUACUAUUACGUUGAUUUGUGAUCAAUAGGAUAAAUGGAUAAUCUUUAAUGGAACUUGAGAGAGGAAACUUGGAGAUAGAACUAGAUUAAGGGGAGUAGGAUGCGUUCUGCGAAACGGAUUUGCAACUAGGAUAGAUUGUGACGGUUAAAGGCUCGAGAUACCAUCACUAUAAUAUCAACUUUGUGAGUCAGUGAAACGGUAGAAAUUUUCAUAGCAAUUGUAUAUAAAUACGAAGAGAUUACACAAGCGUCAUAGCGCAAUUUAUUAUCUUCUCUAUGAACAACCUCUAUGAUAUCAAUUUUAUUUACCUGUCUUGUUUUAGUUAUAAUAAAUAGUGUAGUAUAGUAUUGAAAUUUUUGAGAUAUUUUUGUUAUUUUUGUUGUUACAGCUGUGAAUCUUAGCUGUUGUGGGUAGAUGACAACUUUUAUGCAACACUCUGACAGGAGGUAAACCCCUCCAAAAUUGAAGGAAAUCUAUAUUCUUUCCAACCAAAACCCAAAAGGUUCCUUUAUAAGAGGUUGAAGGAGCAAGCCUUGUUGCAAGUGCAUCGCAACCCACCACUUGCAGUAUUGACAGCUCAACCACAAGCCCCAAUCACAAUACGCGAAGUGGCAAUCCCACUAGUAGAAAAUGUAAACUAUAUUAUAAAAAAACCUAACAUUACUAGAAGAUGGGAGCUGGAGUAGAAUAUGGUGCAGUUAUUGCACACAAACGAGAAGUUCACAUGCUUACCAUAAGAGGACCCAUAGGCUCAUCUCUAGAAUUUCCUAUAGAUCACAAAUACUUACAUCACACAGGAUGUCUGAUCGAAAUGUGAGACUCACUCUGUUUCUGUCCUCUUUGUUAGGGGAAGCCAAAAGGUGGCUUACAGUUGACCCUACCAACUCUAUCACUUUAUGGGAUGAUUUGGCAAAAGUGUUUCUUGCAAGGUUCUUUCCAGCUGGGAAGGGAGCUAAAUUAAGGAGUGAGAUCUUGGAUUUUAGGUAGAUGAAAGGUGAAGGCUUUAGAUAUUCAUUCUAAGCCUUAAUCAGGUUGGCGGCCAGUAAUCCUUAGUGGACCAGUGAGUCCAAUAAAAGAUGCAGUGAAGAGAUUCUAGAGGUUGAUGGGAUGACUAGUAUACAAGCACAAAUUGCAGCGAUGAACAACUUUAGCCAAUUAACCAAUUUUUUUAUAGGUCAAGCGUAAGUGCAAGCUCAAGCUCAGUGAGUUCAACAAUCUUAGUUGUUCUGUGAAGCCUGUGGAGGUGAUAAUUCAACAGAUAUGUCUAGAGCUAACUCAGAAUCGAUACAUUUUAUGGGAAACACAAGUAGAGGCAUAGGAAACCAAAAUUUCGGGAACAACUACAGCCUAAUUGGAGGAACCACCCAAAUUUCUCAUGGUAAUAUCAUUGAGGGCCAACUAGAUGAGAUUAAAGAGAUAUUGAAGAUAUUAGUAGAUGAGCGGCAAAAUCAGUCAGCUACUGGUAAAAAACAUGACUUGGCAAUUUAUAGUCUUGAAAGAAAGAUGGGUCAAAUUGCCGGAGUGCAGAAUACUAGGGCCCAAGGAAGUCUACCUAGCGAUGUAGAUCCUAAUCCAAAACCAUUUAAUGUUGUGGUUACAAAAGGUGGUAAGGAUUUCCAUAGAGGAGGCAACAUUUGUACAACCAGGCCUUCAAACCCAAGGACUUUCACCCAGGCAGUACGAGGUCAUGGUGCACAAUUUUUGGGAAAUAGACUUCUGUUUUUCAACUCGUGACCAGAUUUUCUCUCUCUUGACAAGAGAACAAUAACUAGUGAUAGUGAACUACAAAUUUCUAAUGAAUUCUCACCUGGUCACGUAAUUUGCACUUUCACUAGUAGUAAAGUAGCGAUGAGAAGUGAAGAAAGUUCCUUCGCACAUUUAAGAUGAAAAAUAUAACAUUCAGCACAAAAGCACUAGAGUCAGAGCACUGAUUAAAAAGGAUGCACUAGUGUUAAAGCAUGGAUCACAAGCUCCAAAAAUGACGAUUAACCCCAAUAUAGCACGGAUCUGGUAGCAACAGAGAAUCUCAAAUUACCGUUUUCUUCAACCUAGGAACAAGUCCAGCAUGGAGUAACUAGUUUUAUAUGUAGUUCUAAUCUAUACGAUUGUUUUUCUUAGAGAAUGACAAAUUGUCUUGCAAUCAAAAUAAGCAACCACCGCAAGUUCAAAAACAAGGUGUUGGAUAUAGUACAGACUACAGACACAAAAGAACAGUCUGCCAACAAAACCAAGUGAUCACAAAGCUUGGGCCAAUGUUAAGUGAUACAUUUUCUCACAUUAGACUUAAUUUCAGUCUUGACAUCAACCUGAUCAAGAAUCUUAUGCAAGGGAAGUGAAUCCCCCUUAGCAUUCGCACGAUGUUGGGGGCUAUUCAAUGCAAAAAAAAGAAAUGUUAGCACACACUAGUAUCACAAUGCAAAUUGCCAUCAUAUUUAAUGAUGGUACAAACUGUCUUCACUGAAUUUUUUUUGCCUCAAAUCUUUAUGAUUCUUAACCUUUAAAAUGUUAAAGCAAAUAGCAAUUUUUCCUUCCUUCCAAAAGAAAUAGAUGAUCGAAAAAGUAAACAAGUUGCACUCCAAUUUAUCAAAUGUAACUCCACAAUGUUGUCUCAGUAAGAAAAAUAUUUUGAAACAUCUCAAACAUCACUUAUAGCUAUGGAUAUCAAAUAAACUCCAAAAUCAUACAGAAUUUGGAGCUAUAAGAUUACACAAAUGAGGAAGAAUAGAUAUUAAAAGAACAUAAUGGCACAAGACGACAAUAAUCUCAAGUUGGAGAGGCGAAAGAGGUACAAACCCCUCAAUGUGGUUACCCGGGCCUACCACCCCCCGAGCUAGGGACCAAGGUACAAACCCCUCGAUAUGGUUAUACGGGCCUACUACCCCCCGUACUAGGCAACCAAGGUACCAACCCCUCGAUACGGUUAUACGGGCCUACUACCCCCCGUAGUAGGCAACCAAGGUACCAACCCCUCGAUACGGUUAUACGGGCCUACUACCCCCCGUACUAGGCAACCAAGGUACCAACCCCUCGAUACGGUUAUACGGGCCUACUACCCCCCGUACUAGGCAACCAAGGUACCAACCCCUCGAUACGGUUAUACGGGCCUACUACCCCCCGUACUAGGCAACCAAGGUACCAACCCCUCGAUACGGUUAUACGGGCCUACUACCCCCCGUACUAGGCAACCAAGGUACCAACCCCUCGAUACGGUUAUACGGGCCUACUACCCCCCGUACUAGGCAACCAAGGUACCAACCCCUCGAUACGGUUAUACGGGCCUACUACCCCCCGUACUAGGCAACCAAGGUACCAACCCCUCGAUACGGUUAUACGGGCCUACUACCCCCCGUACUAGGCAACCAAGGUACCAACCCCUCGAUACGGUUAUACGGGCCUACUACCCCCCGUACUAGGCAACCAAGGUACCAACCCCUCGAUACGGUUAUACGGGCCUACUACCCCCCGUACUAGGCAACCAAGGUACCAACCCCUUGAUACGGUUACCCGGGCCUACAACCCCCCGAGCUAGGCUUGGUCGACUCACAACACUUAUAUAGAGAAAAUCAUAUACAUGUAUCCAUUUCAUCAUCAUUUCAAUACUUAUAUAAUCAUCCGACUCAUAGGACGUACAUUGGACCUUCCAUUUCAUAAGAAUUCUAUAAAUGGCAUUUUAUCAAACACAUGGUGGGCUAUUGUUCAUGUAGAUAAAAUCAUGUCUUUCAAGAGUACUAAGUCCAACCAAUUCCGAAAUACAUAUAAAUCAGCCCACCAACAACAUACAUAUAUAUAUACAUAUAUAACAACCUUCAUAAUUUGAUCAUUGAGGCAUGAAAACCAUAAACAUCAUAUAAUCAUUCCAUUUCAUGAUAAUAUACAAAAAUAGACCAUAAUAGGAUGUGUAGUAGUAAUUCCAUAGUUCAAGAGUUCAUAAAUGAUCAUAAGGACCCAUAAACUUGAAGUAGAAAUAGAGGAUAAAUGGUUGGACUUGUGGAAAGGAAGGUUUCCACAAUCAAACCCACAUACCUCAACUUUGGAGAAUUCUUGAUGAAGAUUGGAAUGGAGAAUUGAAGCUUGAGAUUGAGUCUUGAAUCCGGAAUUAGAACUUGAGAUGUUUGAAUUUGGUUGCAGAUCUUGGUGGAAUUUUGGAGAGGGCUUAGAGAGUGUUUUGAAGAAAAAAAAUAUGGCUAAGUAUGGGACAUUUAUAAAAAACGUCCCCAACCCGCUAAAAAAAAAAGCUCUCUGAAAAUUGCAACUCUGUACAGACAGGUUUUACGAAAAUGGUCAUAACUCCCUCAUCCUAACUCGGAAUGAGGUGAAACCAAGUGCGUUGGAAAGCUAACUCAAAGAGCUUUAAUUUAAUAGGUUGUGGCUCUUCCAGUUCCUUGUGUGCUAAGAGAUAUGCCCCUUCAAAGUUGACCCUCCAAAUCGCAUUUUUUCCGAUUUUCGAAUUUUGAUACGGUUGCUCUAAAAUUUGGGUUAGACCCAUUUCCCACUCAAUUUGACCCCAUGAAUAAGAAUAUGAAGUCGAAUUUCUGAAAUCAUGCACGGAUUUUGAGAUAUAUGGAAAUUACAAUUAUAGGUGUUUCCAAAGCACAUUUUCGGGCAUUUUUGGGGUCGUUUCACUUUAGGACAUUUUUUCCUUAAUAAUUAAUAUUGCAUAAAAUUGUAUAAAUGUGCAGCGUGAAUACAGAAAGGGACCUAUAGAUUCAAUCCAUUGAAUUCAUGUCUCCAAGAGUAACAGUAGCUUUAGCCUACGGAUACACAAAAAUGUUAGUCACAGAACACCACCUUCCUACCGACCCAAAAAUCAAAUUUUGAUCCGUCUACACUCUAUACACUGAACUCUUGAUAGCUCCGUAAAUUUCGGCAGCUUUCCAUACAGGGUGAUGGAUAGCCUCCAUUGUUUCAACCCAUUCGUUCCAUUUCAUUUGUUGAUCCAUACAUCUAUUACAACCAUGAAAGGAGACUUUCAAUGAAAUGGAAAGAAUGGGUUGAAACGAUGAAGGCUAUCCAUCACCCAAUAUGGAAAGUUGCAUGAAUUUAUGGAGCUGUCAAGAGUUCAAUGUAUAGAGUCCAGGCGGAUCAAAAUUUAAUUUUUGGGUAGGUAGAAAGGUGGUGUUCUGAGACUAACACUUUUGUGUUUCCGGGGGUGAAGCUACUGUUACUCUUGAAGACAUGAAUUCAAUAAUUUGAACCUAUUUUUAUCCAAGACAAUUGAAAAUAAUAAAAUUUCAAACGGACCAUGCACAAAGAUACAUUGGGCUCCCUCCACCUACAGGAACAUACCUUAGGAGGUUGGAAUUCACAAACAUCAAGAGCACCACAACAUCAAUUAAAAAUAAGGCUUGAAUAGUUAUUUAACCACAAAAUAUAGUAAUAUCAACUCCAAACCAAAUAAGCCCUCACAGAGAGCAAUCCCACAGAGCGCUUCCAAAUUAAACAACUCCAAAAGCUGGAAAACAAUUGAAAUCAGCAAACCCAACCAGAUAUAGAUAAACAAAAAAUCAAAGCAGACCUUGGUAACAAAUAUUGAAGCAAUAGAGACAAAUAGGGACUAGAGCAGCAGUGGAUCCAACACAACAACACGAAGAGUGAUCAGAGUAAACUGAUGUUGCAAUUAAAAAAUUGUAGAUCUUCACAGAUGCCGGAUAAGAUAGCGAAACAAUUGAUCCAGUCUACAAAAGAAAAAAAUUGUCUAAAAGAUCUUCGCCCUUUGCCGAAGGUGAGGGAAACUGGUAACUCAUGGAUGAGUGACCCAAAGCAGAGAAAAAAAGAAAAGAAACGAAACCUUAACUUGGCUUUGAUACCAUGUCACUCAUAAGGUAUGGAGAAUAAUUUGUAUAUUACUCAACAAGAACAAGGAUAUAAAUACAUGAAGAGAACAAACUAACUAUGAUGACUAAAUAUUCAAAUCCCUAAAAUUCAAUUGUAUUAUCUAUAUCAUUAAUAUUCAGAUUUUGUAAUACUAAUAAUACGGAGAAAUAAGUUAGGGUGGGAGUACCAGGUAGAAAUUAGUCGUGUUGAAAGAGGUGAAAAUGCAAUAAAAUCAGCAGAAACAAAUUAAGCAUAGAAUUUUGGUUGCUACAAGGAGAAAACCACUACAGAAACGCUAACAGAAAGUAGAGGGUGAAGAGGAUACAAAUGGAGCAAUGACAUGUAUUCAGAACACAUACUGAUCAAAUAUGACAUGAGAAAAAUAUUGCUAACUCUUAGCAAACAGGAUCUGGUAUCAUUGUCGAGAGUACCCAUUUUGCAUUAUAGAAACUACAGAAGGGGUCAAAGAUGUCAAUCGUUCAGUUACUAAUCCAGAUUGACUAAAUGCAAGAUUCUCAAAAUGUAGCCAUCAUCGAAGACAAUGAACAUGUAUAGAUACAAACCUGAUGAAAUGGAUAAAGAUGAUAUUGCAUUAGUGGAAGCUUUAAACUUGUGCAGCAAGUUCCCUGACAUGGAAUCAAUUUUGCAAACCAGUCCACCAGCACCAGCCGUUUAAAUGAAUUAACCAUGUGAAGUCCAAGAGAGGGCCCAACAUGAGCACAAAAGAGAGCUGAAAUUUCAGCCCAAAGUGUGUUGAAUUCUCUCCCAACAAUGGCUGAAAAUCACAACAAUAUAGAGCCCAAAUAUAAGAUGAAGUCAUGUGGGCUUUGGGUGCAAAUUUGUCAAUUUUUUCCUUAUUCCUGUUAGCUAAUUUUAGGAAGAAGUUUGAUAUUUUUUUUAUAUGUUUUCCCAAUUUAAAGUUUCAUAGUUUAAAAGUUUUCUAAUUAAAAGUAGGAUUUGAAUCUCAUGCUAUUUUGAAUAGGUUUCUCCUAUAUGUAGGGGUGGAUUUUGUUAUUUUCAAAAGACAUAAAUAAUAUUAUUUGAGAGGUUUCUCCCCUUUACACCUCUGUGUAUGGUGACUAUGAAUUUAUCUUACAACAUUAUAAGAAACGAUUCUUUAAAGGUAAGUUAAAUUCUUAACUUUAUAUAUUUGGUUUCUAUUAAAGUAAUUAAAGAAGGUAAUUAGUCGUUUAUUAAUCGUUGUCUCUAAUUUCUUUGAAAUAGAGGUCUACAUCACUUUUGAUCUAAGUUCUUGAAUUGACUUUAUUAGUAUCAUAAUUAGUUUUAGUCUGCUAAUUCUGAAUACUAAGAUAGCUCAAGUUCUUAGCACUUCAUUUUGAAAUUUGAGAAUUUUAUUCUUGAAUUUUACAUAUCUUUUAAUUCCUAUGUUUAAUCUUUGUUUCACUUUUACAUUUUUUUCCUUGUUUAUUCAAGUAACCCCAUUUUUAUAAUUGAACCCUAGGGUUUCUCUAUAAAUGGGUUCCACAAUUCCUGAUUAACACUCAAUACUUACAAUUUUACAUAAGCUUAAACUAUAAAGCUUUUUGUUCUCAAGUUUACUUGAGCUACUUUGUUCCUAAGCAACAACACAAGCUCAUAAUCUAGAUUCUAAAUUAAACUAUUUAUUAUUGUUCUUGCACUCAUUUAUCGUUCCAUUGUUGUCAUCUAUUUUAUAAUAAGGUCAAUUUUAUCCGUAUGCCUUUAAACCACCCUUAGAAAUUUAAUUAUACCAUUUUACGCUAAACAACAUCAUACAAAAUGAAAAAAGAAGAACUAAAAGGCACAACACAUACAUGCAUGAACUAAAAGGCACAAUAUAUACAUGCAUGACAACAUUAAUUCUUUUUUCCUAAAAGUAAAAGUUGAAUAGCCGGAAACUAUACGGAAAGUAUAAUUAGCUACAGUUAUUCACGUAUGAAAAAUGGUGAAAAGAAUUAAUUAAUAUGAGUGAAAAUUCACUUGAGGGAAAAAUAUUACCUUGACACGGCCAUCACCGGAGCUGAUAGCAAAGAAGUUCAAAGAGGGACUGAAACAAGUCAAGAUGUCCCUAAUAGUUGAUGUUCCCAUUGCUGAAAUGAAGCUUAGGUUAAGAACUUUGGCUUGUGGUGGCGUGUUGGACGGUGGAAAACGGGGGUGGCCGCUGAAAAGAAAAAUAACAAAGUUUUAUACUUGCGUACUGAAAUAAUGUGGCUUCAAAUUUUUAUACUUAUAUUUUGGUUUGUGUGUGUGGUUGGGGGAGGGCCGGAGGGGGUUGUGCUUUAUUUAUGUACCUAACUCUUAUUUAGUCAUCGAUUUCAAAGUUGAAAUUUGAGUUUUUCAAAUUGAGGUUUUAUGAAUGGAAGUUUCAAAAAUUCUAACACUGUUUUGACCUAAUUUUUGGGAACUUGAAAAUAUUUGAAGAACAAAUUUUCAAAAUCUGAUCAAAUUUCACGAUCAAACAUAUAUUUGAAAAUGAAUUUUCAAAACUUACUCCAAAAAUUUUGUUAGAAAUUUUACGGAAAUACUAUGUCAUGGGAUAGAAGGGGUGAUCUUAUUUAUGUUGAGACCAAGAACAUGGAGAUAGCUACAAAUAUGGAGGCAGAGGUGAGAGAAGUCUGGGAAGCUCUACAAUUUUGCAUCAGGAAAAAUAUGAAUCAUGUUCAUCUAGGAUCUGAUUCCAUAGUAUUGAAAAACAUGAUCACUAGGAGUUGGAAAAUACCUUGUGAGUUAGCAGAAAUGAUAGAGGAAAUACAUGACAUGGUGGGGAAAAUCAGAGUACAGGUUUCACAUAAUUUUAGAGAAGCAAAUCAAUUGGCAGACUACAUAGCAAAUUCAGUAAUAAAUAAAGAAGAAAUAAAGACAUUUCAGAAUUUCAUUCAGUUACCAAGUUUGGGAAGAAGGAUUCUUAACAUAGAUAAACAACAAAUCCCUUCAGUUCACAUCAAGAAAAGGAUAAUUAACACUAACAACAAUGGACAUCAUGCUUAGUUACAGAUCAGAAGACACAUUGUUCCAAAACUAUGAUAUGUACAGGUUAGAUAUUAGCUAUGUUGGGAGUAAAAAAGAUGUUAAGGAACCUAUCAUAUUUCUAAGCUAUGACAACCAGCAAAAAGGGACAUAGGGACCAGCAAAAAAAAAAGAGUAUAGAGGCCAAAUCUGAUUUCAAAACAAGCUUCCAGCAAAAAGAUAGCGAGGGAGCUACAAGAUCUUUUUCUAUUUUGCUUCACCUGCAAAAUAAAGAGAAUCAAAAUAGGAAUAGAAGAAACAGGGAAGAUGGUAAUAGCAAGUCACUUACACAGAUUUGCAUGGAGGAAGCACAAAGGCACAUACUCUCUUUCAAUUUCUUCACGAACUCAGGCUUUCUAACCAGAAAACACACCUACAGAGAAAACAUUGUCAGUUGCGAAGAAGGAGCAAGAACUCAACAUGGAAAGAACGAGGCAUACCUUUGAGAGAUGAUAUUUCUAGCAUCCAUCAUAAGUCGAACAUGAAGGAUGUUUAUCACCCAAAGAAGGAGGAACAUCAAGUCGGAGCAAGGGGACAAUGACAAACAUUGGGAUAGAGGCGAGCUGAGAAAGAGGAGAGGAAGAGAAAGAAAGGAGAAAAGGAUAGCUCAUUUAGAAAACCCUAGUAUUAGGGUAGUGCCUUUAUCCACUUGGUUUUGCCAAUUUGGGCCGAUCAGGUUGAACCUUUUAUUAAUGAUGUUUGGCCCAGUUAUUUAAUUAAUAAGAUGGAUCUUGAGUCCAAAUUUAAAUUUUUUUUUAAAUAUCCUCAACACUUGAGGCAUGUAAAAGAUACUAUCUUUAAAGAUAUUUCAUCUGAUUGUAUCCUUGUAUUCAACAAGCUCUUCUUACAUAUACAAAAGUUAAAAUCUAACAAAAAAUCAAGUAGGAAAAAGAAAAUUCAGCAUACUAGAAUAUAUGAGGAAUUAAUAUGUUAAUAUCUUCUCUUUUUCUCCCCAAAGAGAAAAUACAAUAAGAAUAUAUAGGUGUGAAAAAACUCAAAAUGAUCACAACGGGAGUAAAUGAGAUAGGUAAUUAUGGGAAAAUAUUACAAAUAUCAAUUGCAACAUUAAUAUUUGAAUCAGAAGUAAUGACCAAUCUUUAAUGGAUAAAUAUAAAGAUUAGCUAUUAAGGCUAUAAAUGGUCUUUUCAAAUGUAGUAAUAGAAAAAAAAAUUAUUUUGAGAUACUCCUAUUAAAUAACAUUUGUAAAACAUUUAUGGUCAAAUACUAACUUAAAUUGAAAAAUAAAAGUGCAAUCCCUACUCAAGCUUCUUUAACCUUUUCCCUUCAUCAUCUCAUUUCCCACCUUUAAUUACUUCUUAUGAUUGAGUUUAAUUAGAUAAUGUUUGAUCCUUAUAUAAGUUUGAUUUAAUAAAAAUAUAAAUAUUAUCAGAUAUUGAACUUUAAAAAAUAAGAGAAUCCAAAGUAAAUUUAUUAUUUUUGAGAUUUAGAUUUUAUUUCACUAUUAAAAGUGAUGAAAUUGCAAUUAAAAAUUAUGUAUCAAAAUUAUAUUCAAAAUUUAAACUUUACUUGGAUCAAUUUUAAAAUAAAAAUAUAUUAUUGAUUUUUUUACAUAAUAUAUUAUCGUGAUUAUCAUAAUUUGGAUUAUCAAGAUUUUAAUAGUAAAUAUUUGAAAAAACUAGUGUGAUUCUCCAAGCAUAUACUGAAAAUUUUGAAAGAAUUAUAGUAUAUAUUUGAAAAAAUUUAUGUGACCUUCAAGUAUUUAAUUGAAAAUACUUGAAGAAUCAACUAUAACUUAUUGUUAAAGCACAGACACUCACAUUUAUUUUAAGUUUUUGCCAAAAAUCAUCCUUAAACUAUACCUCAAAACUUUAAACUAUAUCCUUAAAGUAGUAUUCCUAGCAGAAAACAUUUCAUUCAAGUAUUUAAAAGUGAACAAUUUUCAUCCUUCUACUUGAAUUUAUCAUAAAACUAACAAAUCCCACAAAAAUCAAAUCAUCUCUUCGUAAUUAUUAUUCUUAGAUACGCAAAAAAUUCUAGUGUGAACUUUUUCGGUGAUUGAGUUUAGCAUUAUGCAAAAUCUUUUAAUUUGACAAUUUUUUCCAUUUAUUUUUCAUGUAAUUUGAUAUUAAAUAUAUUAUUAGUUGAAAUAUGUUUCUUCUCAAUUGAAUAUGCUAGAAGCGGCAUUUGUUGGAGACUUCCGCUUCUAAUCAUGUAGAAUGAAACUCAUAUGCGAGACAUAAUCAUAAUUUGAUCAUUUCAAUAUCAGAUUGGCCCAAAAAUUUAUUAUCUAAAUACAGUUUGGCUAUGAAAAAGGUAAAGAUAAGUAAGCUCCAAUUUCUUUCCAUUACUAAAUGAGAAAAGGAGAAAAUCAUGUAUCCUCACCUUCCAAACAUAUUUUUUGUUUCUGUAAGCAAUAAUAACUAAGAUUCUUAAUAUAUUUUUUUCAGGAACUUCUUAUAGGAAGUGAUGAAAUUAUGCAGGAAAACUUUUGUUGAUAGUCAUGUGAACUGGUCAUGUUUUUGUUGGAUCCCUUAGUUUUUUAACUAUAUCUAACAGAAGCAGGAAAAUUGUUCACUUUUACAUACUUGAAAGAUGUUUUAUGCUAAGAAUGAUAUCUUAAAGAUGUAGUUUAAGUUUUAGGUAUAGUUUAAGGAUGCUUUUGGCCAAAAACUCCAUUAUUUUCAUCUCCAAUUUUAAUGUUGUAACAGCAGGGUGAUCCAUUGAAAGGAAACAGCAUGUUGAUUUCUUUUUGCUACCAUCUAACUUCCAAAUUGCUACAUGUCGAUCACUAACAGAAGAAGAAAGAAAAUGUCCCCCAUCUUCAGAGAAAAUCAUACAAAAAUAGAACAGAAGAUGUAUACCAAACCUAUGUUGUUUUGACUCUUAAAAAUGUCGACAGGUGCAUGUUAGAUCCUCCAAAAGUAUAGUGCAUCUUUGGAGGAUCCUACACAGGUGUGGCAACUCUUUGGAGAGUCCAAGAAACAUAGUGACACUCACAGGCUGGUAUUGCUUUAGUGGAAGCUUUAAACUUGUGCAGUAAAUUCCCAGUCAUGGAAUCAAUUUUGCAAACCAGAACAUAAGCACCAGCCGUUUAAAUGAAUGACACAUGUGAAGGGAAUGAGAUGGCAUUGACACCACUGCUCAUAAGCGUAGAAUUUCAAUCAAUGCAGGGGAGAUAUGCCAUAUCAUAAUCUUAAUAUAUGAUAAUAUUUAGAUAAAUAUAGAAAAAUUCAACUUUGAGCUGUGAGAACGAUAAAUAUAGAAAGACUAGAGAAAAGCUUCAAGAUGGAGACAGUACAAGAUCUGUGAUCUACAAGUCAUUACUACUUCUGCUUCACUUUUACAAGUUCAGGAUUCCCAGAAACUAGAGUUCCAGCAUAAAGCCAUAUAUUAAGGAAGUCACAACAAAAGCAGUAAGCAACUAAUGACAAUAGAAAAACAAGAGUGAAACAUUGGAAAAUUUUACAAAAUUUCAUAAAAAAUCUCCCUUCUUGAAAGUUGGACACAUGUGCUAGACAUCAAACUCCAAACCUCUCUUCUGGGUAACUCUACGCAUUAAACUUAGGAAGAUGGGAAAAAAUCACAUAGUUUAUCCUAAUUGGCUCCCAUACAUGAGAUAUAAAUUCAUUCAGAUUAGUUAUGGCCAUCAUCACUUAACAAUAUAGGUCAUAGGUGAGAGGCUAAUCUGGGUAGACAGUUAAAGGCUCGGGAGACCAUGAUUAUAAUAUCAACCUUAUGAGUCAAUGAAAUUAUAGAAAUUCGCAUAGCAAUUGCAUAUACAUAUGAAGAGAUUACGUGUCACGCCCCAAGCCUACACCCUGGGCGAGACUGACACUCGAGAACCAUUGUUGGCCCCAAGCGAACCCUUGACCAUACUCAGCAGAAGACUUUACUCAACAAAGAAAACUUCAUGAAAUAAACUAAAAUGUUGUAAAGAAACAUUCAACUAGCCCAUAAGGCAACUCAAGUCUCAACAUAAACGGAAUGAAAAUGAAAAAACUAAUGAACUAUAACUAUAUGUGUAUGAAGCAUCUAAUACUAUGAGGGAUGUCGGGACAAGAUCCCCGAUCAUCCUAACAACUGAAAUGAUAAAGCAAUAUAAAAAGGAAUCCUCUAGAAAGCAAGGAGGCUCACCAAAUGACUCUGAAAUGUUCGACUGGAUCAACGAAGUGCUCGAUGAUGAUCCUGGUUACAUGUAUCUGUAUCAUAAAACGAUACAGGCCAAAUGGCAUCAGUACAUUGAAUGUACGAGCAUGCGAGAGGAAUUCUAAACAAAAUGUAAGCUUGAACUGGAAUAUGAAAGAAAUACUUACCUCAACUUUACUCAACUCAUGAAUACUCAACUCAAUGCAGAAAUAAAACAACAAUAAAGAUGCAGUUUAUAUAAAGCAUUUAAAAUAGUAGAUAACAUCUCGAAGUAUUGGAAAAUACAAUAAUAUCUCUGUUUACGAGAUUCUCUAACCGGCAACCAUCACUAUGAGCUAUGUGAUGAUACAACGUCUCGUCCACGCUGCCAGAACUGUCCUAUAACUUUCUGAGAUAUAGAGUCGAUCCACUAAGCUAUGCUUAAAAGCAUUAAGGAAUCAUCUAAAAAGUAUGAUCCUUUCUAUCCAUGUUGGCUACAUGGACGUUUAUGGAGACUUGAGUUAUUAUGAACUCGUCCCCAUAUCGGUGCUCAGUACUACUCCAAAAAUAUACUCAGCUCAUAUGUUAAAAACAUAACUCUUUCUCUGUGGUUUGAGAUUAUUACUCAAAAACUAGCUCAAAAGUUCUCUUGGAAAUCGGUGUUUCCUCUCUUGUUUAAAUGUGAAAACAUUUACUCUUUGGGAAUACAUAGCUCCCAUAUAAUCUUUUAAAGAAAAUAAACUUCACUCUUACACUUACUCAACUCAAUGCUCAAGUCUUAAAACAGGUUUAAAACACUUGUAAAAGUCUUUUGAAAAGACUCUAAGAACUAUUUAAACUUAGAUUUUAACUUUCCUUGAAUUUGAAUUUAUGGAUUCAAGGUUAUGAUUCAUAUUUAUGGAUGAUUUCUAGAUGUUUAGAAGUCAUUUAGAGUAGUUAGAAUCGAUAGGAUGUGUGAGUACACUUUAGAAGGACUCAGACGGCUAAACAACAAAAAACGGGUGGGGGCAGGAGACUCUGGCGCACAAUUGGCCAAUGCUAUGAGAGCGCCCACUAGGGUCGUGAGAUCUGAUGAGCCCUCUCGAGUUAUUAUUUCAAAACAAGCCUCAGUUUCAACUACACACUCGGCACACCAGUCACAUAAUACCUCUACUCAUGUGGCUCCACAAUCUGGUUAUACUAUAUCUACACCCACUGUGGUACCUCGUUCGGGUUACCAAACAUUGCAGGGCUAUUCACAUCUUGGUCGUUGGUCUACCAUACCAUCAACUAGUGCUAGUCAGUGCAAUAGUUUGAAUACUAGUAGAGGAUCAAUUGGACUUUCCAAUCUUCAUCUCGAAUCCAAUGGCUCAGAGCCUAAUGCUCCCACCACCCAGCACUCAGAUGCACAUGGUCCUCAGCCAGGAGAUAGAGACAAUUUUCGGAGACUCGUCAUCGAGCCAUUAGGAUACAAGUAUGAUUUAAUUAUGUUUCAUCUUUCAUUUAUCUAUUUAUAUUUUAAUUGAUUGAUUAUUUUUUGUUUACUCUACUUUUUCAAUGAACUCGUAUUUCAGCUUACGUCCGGAUGUGGGUAUGGCAAAGAAUAUUUUAAAGUGCAUCGGAACUCAUUAUAAUGGUGUGUAUCCGAAUUGGAGUUCGAUUCCACUUUAACACCCAAGGGUAGAUGUUCAACGAAUUUAAGGUAAGAAUAUAUAUAAAUUAAAUUUACAUCAUAUUCAUUUAAAUUCUCUAGUCAUUUGAACAAUAAAUAUUUAGUUAUUUUUUAUUACAGAAAUAUUAUGCAUGGGCUCCCGAACACGAGGAUGACGUUCAAGUGAACUUUAAGCUUAAAGCUUCAAAGUUGCUUUCUAGCACAUUUUGUGACUAUCGGAGAGAAAACAGAAUUCCUAAGUUUAUGUUACCGGAUUGAUGGGCUCUGUUAUUGAAACAUUGGAGUACUGAUGAAAAAUUUAAAAAGAGGAGUGAGAUUGGGAAGAUGUCUCGUGCAUCAGAAAAGGGAGGCUCUUUGGAGGCUCUUUGCACAUUGGUGGAGCUAUUAGCCAAGUUACUAGGAAGGAAAGAAUGGUAUACUUUCUUAAUUUAGUAAAAUAAUUUUUUCUUUUUGUAUAAGUAUUUUUGGUAGAUUAAUGAGAUCAAAUUCUAUAUAUGUUAUUUGCAGGAAAAUAAUUGGUAGGCCGGUAGCUGUAGCAGAGAUGUUCAAGGUUACUCACGUCAAGAAGAGUAUGAACCCCACAGAAGAAUAAAGAUGGCUUGAGCCACGUGCUCAAGAGACAUAUGUAAGAACUCCAUUCAAACUAAUCUUUUUUUCUUUUCCUUGUAUAUAUUACAUUCUUAUUCGUAGAGUUCUUUGUUUNNNNNNNNNNNNNNNNNNNNNNNNNNNNNNNNNNNNNNNNNNNNNNNNNNNNNNNNNNNNNNNNNNNNNNNNNNNNNNNNNNNNNNNNNNNNNNNNNNNNNNNNNNNNNNNNNNNNNNNNNNNNNNNNNNNNNNNNNNNNNNNNNNNNNNNNNNNNNNNNNNNNNNNNNNNNNNNNNNNNNNNNNNNNNNNNNNNNNNNNNNNNNNNNNNNNNNNNNNNNNNNNNNNNNNNNNNNNNNNNNNNNNNNNNNNNNNNNNNNNNNNNNNNNNNNNNNNNNNNNNNNNNNNNNNNNNNNNNNNNNNNNNNNNNNNNNNNNNNNAUGUCAAAUAUGGAGGAGGAGAUUGCGGCAGCAAAGGAGGUAGAGAACAACAGGUAUGCAACGCUUCAGGUCCAACUAACUUUUCUUUUUGAAUCAGGAAAUAUUCUUCCUCCAUGUCCGGCCAGCAGUGAUGGAUCUGAUCAGGAGGGUGAUGAGAAUGAUAAGUCUGAUAAGGAAAGUGAGGGUGAUGGGAAUGGUAAGUUUGAUAAGGAGAGUGAGGGUGAUGAGGAGUAGUUCUAUCUAUUUGACAUUUUAGACUUCUAUAUUUUUGGAAUUGUUUAAUUUGAUCGUAUUUUAGUUUAUUUUGAAGUUGGAUGAAGUUUAUUUUGAAAUAGUUUAAUGUAUAUGUUGAAAUUAUUGUAUUGUUUUGGUUGGAUGAAGUUUAUUUGGCUUUGGGUUGUUUUGGUAUAAAUAUGCAGGUGGGUAACUAAAAAUUGCAGUAAUUUGCUGCCUGUUUUGUAGCAAACAACCGACCUCCGGAGGUCAGAAUUUCAAAAAUACAAAAAUAAAAAUACCGACCUCCGGAGGUCGGAAUUUCAACAUUACAAAAAUAAAAAUACCGACCUCCGGAGGUCGGAAUUUCAACAUUACAAAAAUAAAAAUACCGACCUCCGGAGGUCGGAAUUUCAACAUUACAAAAAUAAAAAUACCGACCUCCGGAGGUCGGAAUUUCAACAUUACAAAAAUAAAAAUACCGACCUCCGGAGGUCGGAAUAAAAAUAAAAAUACCGACCUCCUGAGGUCGGAAUUUCAACAUUACAAAAAUAAAAAUACCGACCUCCUGAGGUCGGAAUUUCAACAUUACAAAAAUAAAAAUACCGACCUCCUGAGGUCAUAAUCUCAAAAAUAAGAAUACCAACAUCCGGAGGUCAGAAUCUCAAAAAUACAAAAAUAAAAAUAUCGACAUCCAGAGGUCGGAAUUUAAAAAUUAAGAAGUCACAAAUACCGACAUUCGGAUGUCGGUAUUCCAUGAGAAAUAAAUAUUCUGACCUCAGGAAGUCGGAAAUAAUAAUAUAUAAAACUGAACUCAAGAAGUCGGAAAAUAAAAUAAUGAAUUUUCCGACAUAAAAUAAAAACUGACCUCGAGAGGUCAGUAAAUACCGACCUACAGAGGUCGGUAUUGAAUAGCGACCAAGCUUUUUUCCGAUCUAAGCUGGGAUGUCGGUUUUAGAUCGGUAUUUCAGGGAAUAUCGACCUCCGGAGGUCGGUAUUUGUAGGUCGGUAUUCACUGUUUUUUUAGUAGUGUUUGUUUUAGCAUUGUUUUUGGGCUAAACCAAUUUUGGCUUGGUCUUUUACUUGUUUGUACAAACUUGAUUAAUUCGAAAUAAAGGAGCUCGAGCUCAGAUAUUUAGUUUUUUUUUAAAUCUUAUAACAUGUACAAACAAGUAAAAGACCAAGCAAAAAUUGGUUUAGCCCUAAAACAACGCUAAAACGAAAAUCCCAGCCCACUAAGUGAGGCUAUCAACUUCUCUAACAUGUUUCUUUAAAAGUAGGGUUUCCAAUUUGAGCUCCUUAUCUUUCUCUCCAUGUCGCCACAAGGAGCCUUGUGGAAUCUAACCUUCCUCUUCCACUCUCUUUAGGUCAUCAACACCUUCCUCUUGUUUGCCACAUCUUUUUCUUAGCUACUAAAGGUAGGUUUUCAGUUUAUUCUUUUCAAUUUUCUAAUUUUCCUUUUCUCCUUGUAGAGACAUUAUCCGAUGGAUCAAUGGUUACAUGAACUGAUUUCAAUAGAGGUGCCUCGUCUUGUGGUGGGCUCGCAACUCUCAGUAAGUCUCCUACCUUUUCCUCUUUCUUCCUUCCCCCUUUUCUUCCUCUCUGACUCUCUAUUUCCAGCUGAAGUAGCAGUGUAGUAACUUCUAUGAUAUAGAGAGUCGAUUCUUCCAAAUUAGUUAGGUUAUUCCUCUUCUAUAUGAUUGGGAAAGUUUUCAAUUAUUCUCUUACUUAGAUUUCUAAUGAUUCAAUAUAAUGCUCAUUUAAGUAUCGCAAACUAUGGGUAAAGAAAGAAGCAGUUGAAUUCAUUGUUGUUGAAUAAAGAAAAGACAAAGGAUAUUUGGAGGAAAGCUAAGGAAUAACUAGUUAUGCUUUUAAAUUUUUUAUUUAGAAGACAUUUUUACUAAAGUUAUGAUCAUAUUAAGGCUAACAUUGAAACAUUAUUGACUGACGUUGUAGUCCUGGCAUGACUAUACUUUAGACAUAUAGUAAUUAUACAUCAAAUAUUUAAUUACUUGUCAAGGUCAACUUUCAUACAUAUUUUACUAGAUUUGUGACAUUGCCAAAGCCAGAAGAUUAGGCAUAUAAUAGCUUCAUAUCUGGUGUGAAAUCGGACAUAUACAUGACAUACAAAAUUACAAAUGAUUUGCAUAAAUAAGACUUUUUGAUGUCAUAGUUUAAAGUUGGCUUCAUAUUUCAGGCUUUAUACUGUUUUCUCAAUGAGAUCUCUACUAUAUUCUUCCUCAUAUCCUUGGGAGAAGAUACUUUGUUCAUAACCUAGCCUAACCCCAAGGAAAGAUAAGUUAGACCUUCGUACUCUUAAAUGUGUCUUUCUUGGUUACUCUAGAGUUCAAAAAGGGUAAUGUUUCUAUUUACCAUAUCUGCGUCGAUACCUUAUGUAGGCCGAUGUCACAUUCUUUGAAUCACAACCUUAUUAUACAUCUUGUAAUCAUCUUGAUGUAUCUGAGGUCUUACUCCUACCUCUCAGGUCUUACAUGUACCAACUUUUGAGGAACCUACAGUUACUUGUACAUCUCUACUUGUAGUGCCAUCACUCUUGGCUUAUCAUCGCCAUCCGCAUCUAGCACCAUUCUCCGGUGAAUUAUGCCAUGCGUCAAACAAUGUUGCUACUACGGACUUGCCUCCUCCUAGCCAACCGAUUGCAUUUCAAAAAGGUAUACAAUCCACUCGAAAUACUAACCCAUAUUAUACUUACUUGAAUUAUCAUCAUUUAUCAUCACCCCACUAUGCCUUUGUAUCAUUUGUCCUCUAUUAUUAUCCCUAAGACUAUGGGUGAAAUACUUUCUCAUUUUUAAGGGAGGUACACUAUGAUUGAUUCCAUGUAUGCUUUACAUACGUGUGGUACUUGAGAGCUAGUCUCACUUCCUGUAGGUAAAUCUAAUGUUGGUUGUCGUUGAAUUUAUGCAGUCAAAAAUGGUUUAGUUAGUUAGGUUUAUAAGGCUCACCUUGUUGCCAAAGGGUAUACUCAGUGUAAUACCCAAUUUUAACUCGAGGUUCAAACAGUGUACAACAUAUAGUGAUUCUUAAUGUUAUUUUAAAGAGUCGCCACCUAAUUAUGUGAAAAGUAAAUUAUGAUACCUAUUUUACUAAGGUUAUGUAAUAUUAACUCUACAUUAAGGUCUACCUAACCUUAUACGAUUCUAGGUAAGGGUUCUAAUUUAUCCUAAAGGGAGACAUCCUUUAAGAUCCGUAAAACACAGUUAACCGGUCAAACUGAGGUUAAUUAAUUAAACUAAAAAAUAAUGCUAAAGAAUUUGCAAAAAAACCAUGAGUGGAAAACAUUUUAACAUUUGAAAAACUAUUUUAUAUUUGGAUAGAAUUGACUUGCAUUUUUCUUUUUUGAAAACAAUAGAUAAUCACUUGUUUAAAACGACAAUUAUUUGUACAAAAUUUGGUACGAAAAUGCAUACUAAAACAAAGGUUUCAGUAUAUGAAGUUAAUUCGCAUGUCUUAAAAUUUGUUUGCACCUUGAAACACAUUCUACAUUUGAAAAUUGAUUGAAAUAGAAUGACAAAAACUUGAAAAGAAGAAAAUAAAAAGUCAUUUGCUUAAAAAAAAAUUAUUAGUCUCUAAAGUCAUGGCUAUAAAAACACAAUACAAAAUCUAAUUUAUGACCCCAAAAAAACGCUUCUUUAAAAAAAAUCAAAUUGAGCUUAAAUAAAUGCUAGAUUUCUUUCAAAAAAGGAAAAGCUCACAUAUGAUAGAUAGUUUAUCGAUAAUUAGGUUGUGGGUAACUAAGUAAUUAGAUUUAAACGUGAUCAGUUUUCCUAUGUCGACUAUCUCGAAUGAAAAAAAAAACUAAAAACACAUCUAAAUCACAUAAGUAAGUUCAUCAUGUUAAGAAAAAUCAAUAAAAACAAAUAAAUGCUAAAGAUAUAAAUAGAUAUAGGCGACUCCAAGUGAGUUUCACUCGUUUAGCUGGCUAUUCCGGAUAGUCAAAGAUAUAGACUCCAUAUGCGGGUAUUAUGGUAGCGAGUCCAUGAGACUGUAUUUUGGCCAGAGUCCUCAAUUCGGACUCCAUUUUUGCUCCAAAGUUCAUGCAAGUAAAGAGAUGGUAAAGAGAUUAGUAAGACAAUUCAACUUUAAUCGAUAUUGAAUAAGUCAAGAAUAGAGCCAAAUAAAGUCACGCCACAAAAUACAUUCCGAGAUACAAAUUAAACUGCAAGGAUCAGACAAGAUACAUGACGAUUUUUGAACCAAACUCGAAGCAGCCAAGUAUGAAGCAACCAUACGUGCCUUAUAGACACAACAUUAAAUUCCAACUUCAACAGAUUUGAACUAUAAAGAAAACUUACUUCUCACACCAUGAUCCUUUAACAUUAACUUUUUUUUACAUAGCCAAAUAUUAAAUAUUCAGGAUG
This 31734-nucleotide long non-coding RNA is filed under the name Solanum tuberosum (potato). RNAcentral describes it as "long non-coding RNA (STUB_LNC001366)". The record is from RNAcentral. Lineage: Eukaryota; Viridiplantae; Streptophyta; Magnoliopsida; Solanales; Solanaceae.